Molecule: long non-coding RNA, 667 nt
Organism: Zalophus californianus (California sea lion)
Lineage: Eukaryota; Metazoa; Chordata; Mammalia; Carnivora; Otariidae
Exons: 6
Source: RefSeq, a predicted model, not a curated record
CUGAGCCACCCAGGGGCCCCUAGAAACAACUCUUCUAUACAAGUAUCCUGUGCCACGUUUGGGGAACUGAUGCCUGCCACUUGAUCUUGUCUUCCUGCUGUCGGUGCAUGAGUGUCACUUGGUUGCUGCUAAGGAGAGAGAGACAGCGACAGAAGGAACACAAGCAGGGGGAGAGGGAGAAGCAGGCCUCCCGCGCAGCUGGGAGCCUGACGCGGGGCUCGAUCCCGGGACGCCGGGAUCACGACACGAGCCGAAGAAAGACGCCCAACGACUGAGCCACCCAGGCGCGCCUCGCCCAACCAGUUCUUGAGGCAAAUGGGGUAUUGACAGGGUGGAUAUUAACACCUCUCUUACUUGGUAAAUGACAAAACUGAGGCUCAGUAAAGCUUCUUCACUUCUGCAAGGUGCCCAGCACGUCAAAUACUGUCGGCUUCUGCUCACAAAGGAGAGAAGACUGCCACAGAAAGUGACACCUAAUGACUGUUUUCAGCCCACAGUGGGUAACGGGAAAGGCCCCAUGUUUAAAGCCAUUGCCUGAGAUGUGGGGCUUGCACCUGCCAGAUCCAGAUCUUGCUUCCUCCAGGAAGCCUUCCAGGACUCCUCCGCCCAAUGCUUAUCUCUCCUUGCCUGACCUUUCAACAAGUUAGUGAUUCACUAUCCUGUAUCC